Molecule: ribosomal RNA, 253 nt
Filed under: uncultured bacterium
Lineage: Bacteria
Description: partial 16S ribosomal RNA
Rfam family: Bacterial small subunit ribosomal RNA
Source: RNAcentral
UACGUAGGUGGCAAGCGUUGUCCGGAAUUAUUGGGCGUAAAGGGCGCGUAGGCGGCGUCUUAAGUCAGAUGUGAAAUUCCCGGGCUUAACCUGGGACGUGCAUCUGAUACUGGGAUGCUAGAGUGCAGGAGAGGUAAGUGGAAUUCCUAGUGUAGCGGUGAAAUGCGUAGAUAUUAGGAGGAACACCAGUGGCGAAGGCGGCUUACUGGACUGUAACUGACGCUGAGGCGCGAAAGCGUGGGGAGCAAACAGG